ACUUAUAUAGUAUAAAAAUUAUUUUUAACUUCCAAUUAAAAGAUCUAUAUUAUAGUAUAAGUA
RNAcentral lists this transfer RNA (63 nucleotides) under Tillus nitidus. RNAcentral's name for it is "tRNA-Gly". Lineage: Eukaryota; Metazoa; Arthropoda; Insecta; Coleoptera; Cleridae. The record is from RNAcentral.